RNAcentral lists this ribosomal RNA (881 nucleotides) under uncultured fungus. RNAcentral's name for it is "eukaryotic LSU rRNA". The stretch from base 432 to 585 matches the Rfam family "5.8S ribosomal RNA". Lineage: Eukaryota; Fungi. The record is from RNAcentral.
UCUUGGUCAUUUAGAGGAAGUAAAAGUCGUAACAAGGUUUCCGUAGGUGAACCUGCGGAAGGAUCAUUAAAGAAAUUUAAUAAUUUUGAAAAUGGAUUUUUUUGUUUUGGCAAGAGCAUGAGAGCUUUUACUGGGCAAGAAGACAAGAGAUGGAGAGUCCAGCCGGGCCUGCGCUUAAGUGCGCGGUCGUGCUAGGCUUGUAAGUUUCUUUCUUGCUAUUCCAAACGGUGAGAGAUUUCUGUGCUUUUGUUAUAGGACAAUUAAAACCGUUUCAAUACAACACACUGUGGAGUUUUCAUAUCUUUGCAACUUUUUCUUUGGGCAUUCGAGCAAUCGGGGCCCAGAGGUAACAAACACAAACAAUUUUAUCUAUUCAUUAAAUUUUUGUCAAAAACAAGAAUUCUCGUAACUGGAAAUUUUAAAAUAUUAAAAACUUUCAACAACGGAUCUCUUGGUUCUCGCAUCGAUGAAGAACGCAGCGAAAUGCGAUACGUAAUGUGAAUUGCAGAAUUCCGUGAAUCAUCGAAUCUUUGAACGCACAUUGCGCCCCUUGGUAUUCCAGGGGGCAUGCCUGUUUGAGCGUCAUUUCCUUCUCAAACAUUCUGUUUGGUAGUGAGUGAUACUCUUUGGAGUUAACUUGAAAUUGCUGGCCUUUUCAUUGGAUGUUUUUUUUCCAAGGAGAGGUUUCUCUGCGUGCUUGAGGUAUAAUGCAAGUACGGUCGUUUUAGGUUUUACCAACUGCGGCUAAUCUUUUUUUAUACUGAGCGUAUUGGAACGUUAUCGAUAAGAAGAGAGCGUCUAGGCGAACAAUGUUCUUAAAGUUUGACCUCAAAUCAGGUAGGAGCANCCGCUGAACUUAAGCAUAUCAAUAAGCGGAGGAA